Long non-coding RNA from Macadamia integrifolia, 2015 nucleotides. RefSeq lists it as uncharacterized. The record is from RefSeq and is a predicted model, not a curated record. Lineage: Eukaryota; Viridiplantae; Streptophyta; Magnoliopsida; Proteales; Proteaceae. The transcript has 2 exons.
UCUCAGUCAUAAAUUUCCCAAAGCAUCAGACCCAUCAACCAUGGGCGACAGUAGUGACACCACUCGGCCAUUGCUGCAAGGCAUCAUCAAUGACCAAGCUCAAUUCUCCGAGCUAUCCUCAAAAGCUGUAGAGGAGUUGUUGGCACAGGAGCAGCCAAUGUCUAUGGGACAGUGGCUUAGGCUGGUGGGUUGGGAGUCCAUGCUGCUAUGGUAUCUAUUUGGUACUUCAAUUGUUGUCUCAAUCUUCAAUUUCAUGCUCAGUUUGGUGACCCAGAUGUUCAUUGGCCAUUUGGGUGCCUUGGUGCUUGUUGGUGCCUCCAUUGUCAAUGUUGGAAUUCAAGGUCUUGCUUAUGGGAUCAUGGUGAGUCUUCUUUGAAUCUGUUUGGUUGAAUACACUGGGGAAUGUAUUUUCAGGUAGGUACUGAUGAAAGAAGAAGAAGAAGAAGAAGAAGAAGAGGAGGAGGGGUAAUUAUGUCUUUUUGUAUUUUAAAACUAAUAGUAAACUAAUGGUGUUUAUUUUUUGGGUUUAAAUGUAAUAAAUAAUUUUUAGGGGAGGAUGUAAUAUAAGCAAAUGCCAGGGGAGGUUGAUGUAAAUCGUCUUAAAUUUUUCGAAAAUUUAUCUUGUAUCACCCCUAUUUUCAAAAUUUGUAUGAGAUAUCACUUUAAAUUUCCAAAAAUACUUGGGAUAUAUCCUGUUUUGAAAAAAUAAUGACUCUUAAAUCUAUUCCAUCAGCUCAGAAAGGUUAAGUGAUGAUGUGUCAUUGUUGGUAAUUUUUUAAAUGACAAGUUUACCCUUAAACUUGUUAUUUUACCUUACGAUGUAACAAAUCCACCAUUGAUUUGAUCGGCCUUCCUCCUUUGUCUCUCUCUCUCGGCUGCUUGUUGGACUCGGUGGAACACAGAACCUGCUGCACCAUCCAUAGCCGGAGAGAUCGAAGUCGGUGAGGAUGAUGUGGCCGGAUUGUUGAAUGAGUACAUUUUCAGGCUUGAGAUCACAAUAGACGAUGUUCAUACUGCGUAGAUACUCAAUAGCGCAAACGAUUUCGGCGAAGUAGAAUCGGAUGAUGGUGGGGGAGACGACAUGAUCUGUCCGACGGUAACGGAGCACGAUCAGAUCACCGCCAGGAGGGUACAAGAAUAUCCCUGGUCCCCAAUGGAAAACUACUAAAACGACUAUUCAUUGCGAAAUAGAGCUAACGAGAGACGGUUAGCACUUAGCAAUAGCUUCGUCAUUGAUCGUAGCGCACGCUGCGAAGGAUCGGACUGCGAGAGCCUAAAAGAUGCAAACCCUAUUCUCUGUGGUGUCUAAGGAGUAGUUUAGAGGGAAGGCCCCUGCUUGAAAUUUAAAAUUUUCAUAGGACUAUGCUUCAUCAGUCUCCACAGUGCCGAGAAGGGUUGGAAGAAAGGGGUUGUUCAGGCGAGAGAGACCCGAAACUUCCCGUUUAGCCCGACGUUCAACGUCGAAUUUGAUGGCUGCUACAAUCUCAGGGCAGCCAUGCCUGAGUUCUGCCUCAAUGGCUGCAGCAAUGUCGUUGAAUGGUUCAAACAGAGUAGCAGAGGUGAAAAUGAUGAGAAGUGGUUUUUUUAUUCAUAUUUGGUUUUAGGGUCAAACAAGUAAUUUUCAUUUUUGAACUAUUUUAGGGUCAAACAAGUAAUUUUCAUUUUUAAACUAACGACGUUAGACUUUAGGGGUACUAUUGAUAUUUUUGAAAAUUUAAGGCGAUAUCUCAUAUAAAUUUUGAAGAUAGGGAUGGUACAAGAUAAUUUUCUUAAAUUUUUUAUAAUUUAAUCACAUUGGAUUCCUUUGAUGAAGUAGACUUACUAGGUGAUUGUGCACAAAAUAUUACUGUCAUGGGCUUGAACUUGGUGAAGUGGGUGAGGUUUGUGACCUUUAUGCCGGAGCAAUGUCCACUUCCUUUAACUGUUGAGCAGCAGACAUGUCUAAACACCUCAACCUGAUGUGUAGGUGCUGAUGCAUCACACCACCAGAAGUUUUAUUUUGACAAGUGAAAAUC